Molecule: ribosomal RNA, 904 nt
Filed under: Talaromyces marneffei
Lineage: Eukaryota; Fungi; Ascomycota; Eurotiomycetes; Eurotiales; Trichocomaceae
Description: LSU rRNA
Rfam family: Eukaryotic large subunit ribosomal RNA
Source: RNAcentral
UAGCAUAUCAUAAGCGGAGGAAAAGAAACCAACCGGGAUUGCUCAGUAACGGCGAGUGAAGCGGCAAGAGCUCAAAUUUGAAAUCUGGCCCCUUUGGGGUCCGAGUUGUAAUUUGCAGAGGAUGCUUCGGGUGCGGUCCCCAUCUAAGUGCCCUGGAACGGGCCGUCAUAGAGGGUGAGAAUCCCGUCUGGGAUGGGCGGCCGCGCCCGUGUGAAGCUCCUUCGACGAGUCGAGUUGUUUGGGAAUGCAGCUCUAAGCGGGUGGUAAAUUUCAUCUAAAGCUAAAUACUGGCCGGAGACCGAUAGCGCACAAGUAGAGUGAUCGAAAGAUGAAAAGCACUUUGAAAAGAGAGUUAAACAGCACGUGAAAUUGUUGAAAGGGAAGCGUUGUCCACCAGACUCGCCCGGGGGGGCUCAGCCGGCACGUGUGCCGGUGUACUCCUCUCCGGGCGGGCCAGCAUCGGUUUGGGCGGCUGGUGAAAGGCCCCGGGAAUGUAACACCCUCCGGGGUGCCUUAUAGCCCGGGGUGCCAUGCAGCCAGCCUGGACCGAGGCCCGCGCUUCGGCGAGGAUGCUGGCGUAAUGGUGGUCAACGGCCCGUCUUGAAACACGGACCAAGGAGUCUAACAUCUAUGCGAGUGUUCGGGUGUCAAACCCGUCCGCGCAGUGAAAGCGAACGGAGGUGGGAGCCCCUCGGGGCGCACCAUCGACCGAUCCUGAUGUCUUCGGAUGGAUUUGAGUAAGAGCAUAGCUGUUGGGACCCGAAAGAUGGUGAACUAUGCCUGAAUAGGGCGAAGCCAGAGGAAACUCUGGUGGAGGCUCGCAGCGGUUCUGACGUGCAAAUCGAUCGUCAAAUUUGGGUAUAGGGGCGAAAGACUAAUCGAACCAUCUGGUAGCUGGUCCUGC